RNAcentral lists this ribosomal RNA (1544 nucleotides) under metagenome. Its description in RNAcentral is "bacterial LSU rRNA". It matches the Rfam family "Bacterial large subunit ribosomal RNA", at positions 1241 to 2911 of the family's 2925-position model. The record is from RNAcentral.
CUGCUUACUGUGAAGCCGGGCCGGGAGGCAUCCGGUGGAGUGAUCGGAAGUGAGAAUGUUGACAUGAGUAGCGAUAAACAGGGCGAGAGACCCUGUCGCCGAAAGUCCAAGGGUUCCUGCUUAAAGUUAAUCUGAGCAGGGUAAGCCGGCCCCUAAGGCGAGGCCGAAAGGCGUAGUCGAUGGGAACCAGGUUAAUAUUCCUGGGCCAGGAGGAAGUGACGGAUCUGAAACGUUGUCUGCCCUUAUCGGAUUGGGUGGGCCGCCAACAGGUCCCUGGAAAUAGCCCUCCAUCAGACCGUACCCUAAACCGACACAGGUGGACUGGUAGAGAAUACCAAGGCGCUUGAGAGAACCACAUCAAAGGAACUCGGCAAAAUACCUCCGUAAGUUCGCGAGAAGGAGGCCCCGUUGGCAGGCAACUGUCGGCGGGGGGCACAAACUAGGGGGUGACGACUGUUUACUAAAAACACAGGGCUGUGCGAAGCCGCAAGGCGACGUAUACAGUCUGACGCCUGCCCGGUACUGGAAGGUUAAAAGGAGGGGUGCAAGCUCCGAAUUGAAGCCCCAGUAAACGGCGGCCGUAACAAUAACGGUCCUAAGGUAGCGAAAUUCCUUGUCGGGUAAGUUCCGACCUGCACGAAUGGCGUAACGACUUCCCCGCUGUCUCUGAUGUGGACUCAGCGAAAUUGAACUGUCUGUCAAGAUGCAGACUUCCCGCGGUUAGACGGAAAGACCCCAUGCACCUUUACCCCAGCUUUGCACUGGCAUCAGGAUUGUGAUGUGCAGGAUAGGUGGUAGGCUUUGAAACGGGGACGCCAGUUCUCGUGGAGCCUCCCUUGAGAUACCACCCUUCGCACUCUUGAUGUCUAACCGCGGUCCGUCAUCCGGAUCCGGGACCCUGCAUGGUGGGGAGUUUGACUGGGGCGGUCUCCUCCCAAAGUGUAACGGAGGCGCGCGAAGGUAGGCUCAGACCGGUCGGAAAUCGGUCGCUGAGUGCAAUGGCAGAAGCCUGCCUGACUGCAAGACUGACAAGUCGAGCAGAGACGAAAGUCGGUCAUAGUGAUCCGGUGGUCCCAAGUGGGAGGGCCAUCGCUCAACGGAUAAAAGGUACGCUGGGGAUAACAGGCUGAUGAUGCCCAAGAGUCCAUAUCGACGGCAUCGUUUGGCACCUCGAUGUCGGCUCAUCUCAUCCUGGGGCUGGAGCAGGUCCCAAGGGUAUGGCUGUUCGCCAUUUAAAGAGGUACGUGAGCUGGGUUUAAAACGUCGUGAGACAGUUCGGUCCCUAUCUGCCGUGGGUGUAGGAGACUUGAGAAGAGUUGCCCCUAGUACGAGAGGACCGGGGUGAACGGACCACUGGUGGAUCAGUUGUCGUGCCAACGGCAGUGCUGAGUAGCUAUGUUCGGACAGGAUAACCGCUGAAGGCAUCUAAGCGGGAAGCCCCCUUCAAAACAAGGUCUCCCUUGAGAGCCGUAGAAGACCACUACGUCGAUAGGCCGGAGGUGUAAGUGCAGCAAUGCAUUCAGCUGACCGGUACUAAUUGCCCA